This 464-nucleotide ribosomal RNA is filed under the name Vreelandella stevensii. RNAcentral's name for it is "partial 16S ribosomal RNA". It matches the Rfam family "Bacterial small subunit ribosomal RNA", at positions 339 to 795 of the family's 1533-position model. The record is from RNAcentral. Lineage: Bacteria; Pseudomonadati; Pseudomonadota; Gammaproteobacteria; Oceanospirillales; Halomonadaceae.
CCUCGGGUGGCAGCAGUGGGGAAUAUUGGACAAUGGGCGAAAGCCUGAUCCAGCCAUGCCGCGUGUGUGAAGAAGGCCUUCGGGUUGUAAAGCACUUUCAGUGGGGAAGAAAGCCUUGGGGCUAAUACCCUCGAGGAAGGACAUCACCCACAGAAGAAGCACCGGCUAACUCCGUGCCAGCAGCCGCGGUAAUACGGAGGGUGCGAGCGUUAAUCGGAAUUACUGGGCGUAAAGCGCGCGUAGGCGGUCUGAUAAGCCGGUUGUGAAAGCCCCGGGCUCAACCUGGGAACGGCAUCCGGAACUGUCAGGCUAGAGUGCAGGAGAGGAAGGUAGAAUUCCCGGUGUAGCGGUGAAAUGCGUAGAGAUCGGGAGGAAUACCAGUGGCGAAGGCGGCCUUCUGGACUGACACUGACGCUGAGGUGCGAAAGCGUGGGUAGCAAACAGGAUUAGAUACCCUUGUAGUC